This is a non-coding RNA of Pelobates cultripes (western spadefoot toad), 344 nucleotides long. NCBI's taxonomy places the organism in Eukaryota, Metazoa, Chordata, Amphibia, Anura, Pelobatidae. The record is from the annotation of a GenBank genome assembly.
CACAUUCAAUGCAUCCCAUACAUACACAGAAACACACCUUGCAGCCCUUACACAUACAAACACAAUUUCACACAAUGCAUUCCUUACACACAUAUCAGGACAUCCCUUACACACUCCACCCCCUGUGAACAAACUCAUUGGUGGAACAUGAAGGUGGACCCUGGGACCCAGACCUUGAGCUGUGUAAAGGACCCCCCAAAAAUGGAGCUGCUUCCCGUUCUCCCAGAACAUUGAUUUUUGUGACCACAGUUACAAACCGCCUCCAGAGAGCCUGUUCUGCACCAGACCAGUGGAGCCAGACUGCAGCUAGAGCCCAUCAUCAUCCUCAUCUGGUUGUAAGUAGG